Molecule: small nucleolar RNA, 150 nt
Organism: Caenorhabditis elegans
Lineage: Eukaryota; Metazoa; Nematoda; Chromadorea; Rhabditida; Rhabditidae
Source: Ensembl
CAACCACUAUUCAAGUUAAUCUUAUGAAAAUUAUUGAUAAGAUGAUUAUAGAACUGUGGAAUAUAAACGCGAAGCGAAUUAUAAAAGCAGAGUGUUACUUUCCAAAAAUGUUUUUUUAAUGAAAUUUUUGGUCUUAGACACUCAGACAAC